UACGGAGGUGGCGAGCGUUGUCCGAAGUUACUGGGCGUAAAGCGCGCGUAGGCGGGCUCUUAAGUGAGAAGUGAAAGGCUGGGGCUCAACUCCAUGCAGUGCUUCUCAUACUGGGGGUCUUGAGGGCGGUAGAGAGAAGUGGAAUUCCCGGUGUAGCGGUGAAAUGCGUAGAUAUCUGGAGGAAUACCGGUGGCGAAGGCGGCAUCCUGGACCGACAUUGACGCUGAGGAGCGAAAGCUAGGGGAGCAAACGGG
RNAcentral lists this ribosomal RNA (254 nucleotides) under uncultured bacterium. RNAcentral describes it as "partial 16S ribosomal RNA". It matches the Rfam family "Bacterial small subunit ribosomal RNA", at positions 524 to 776 of the family's 1533-position model. The record is from RNAcentral.